GACGAACGCUGGCGGCGUGCUUAACACAUGCAAGUCGAACGGAAAGGCCCUGUUUUUGUGCGGUGCUCAAGUGGCGAAAGGGUGAGUAUCACGUGAGUAACCUGCCCUUUACUUUGGGGUACCUUCAGGAAACUCGGGCUCUUACCGCAUAUGAGCUCUUGCUGCAUGGUGGGUGAUGGAGAGAUUCGUCGGUUGGGGAUGGAAGCGCGGCUUAUCGUCUUGUUGGUGGGGUAGUGGCUUACCAAGGCUUUGACGGGUAGCCGGCCUGGGAGGGUGACCGGCCACAUUGGGCCUGGGGUGGGGCCCAGACUGCUACGGGAGGCAGCGGUGGGGAAUAUUGCAAAAUGGGCGGAAGGCUGAUGCAGCAACGCCGCGUGCGGGAUGACGGCCUGCGGGUUGGAAACCGCUUUCGCCUGUGACGAAGCGUGAGUGACGGUAACGGGUAAAGAAGCACCGGCUAACUACGUG
RNAcentral lists this ribosomal RNA (468 nucleotides) under uncultured bacterium. RNAcentral's name for it is "partial 16S ribosomal RNA". It matches the Rfam family "Bacterial small subunit ribosomal RNA", at positions 28 to 507 of the family's 1533-position model. The record is from RNAcentral.